This 580-nucleotide ribosomal RNA is filed under the name uncultured bacterium. RNAcentral describes it as "bacterial SSU rRNA". It matches the Rfam family "Bacterial small subunit ribosomal RNA", at positions 102 to 669 of the family's 1533-position model. The record is from RNAcentral.
ACGGGUGAGUAACACGUGGAUAACCUACCUAUAAGACUGGGAUAACUUCGGGAAACCGGAGCUAAUACCGGAUAAUAUAUUGAACCGCAUGGUUCAAUAGUGAAAGACGGUUUUGCUGUCACUUAUAGAUGGAUCCGCGCCGCAUUAGCUAGUUGGUAAGGUAACGGCUUACCAAGGCAACGAUGCGUAGCCGACCUGAGAGGGUGAUCGGCCACACUGGAACUGAGACACGGUCCAGACUCCUACGGGAGGCAGCAGUAGGGAAUCUUCCGCAAUGGGCGAAAGCCUGACGGAGCAACGCCGCGUGAGUGAUGAAGGUCUUCGGAUCGUAAAACUCUGUUAUUAGGGAAGAACAAAUGUGUAAGUAACUAUGCACGUCUUGACGGUACCUAAUCAGAAAGCCACGGCUAACUACGUGCCAGCAGCCGCGGUAAUACGUAGGUGGCAAGCGUUAUCCGGAAUUAUUGGGCGUAAAGCGCGCGUAGGCGGUUUUUUAAGUCUGAUGUGAAAGCCCACGGCUCAACCGUGGAGGGUCAUUGGAAACUGGAAAACUUGAGUGCAGAAGAGGAAAGUGGAAUUC